This is a long non-coding RNA of Mauremys mutica (yellowpond turtle), 148 nucleotides long. RefSeq lists it as uncharacterized. The transcript is spliced from 5 exons. The record is from RefSeq and is a predicted model, not a curated record. NCBI's taxonomy places the organism in Eukaryota, Metazoa, Chordata, Testudines, Geoemydidae.
AGGGAAACGUGAUACAGAAAUCGAUGAUCUUCAAAGAGAACUUGACUGGAGAAGAAACAUCGUCUUCCCAGGGCUGGGAAGUUCUGCGCCACCUGUACAAGAAGUGAAUGUGACUCUGGAUCCAGAUACAGCUUAUCCCCACCUCGUC